UACGUAGGGUGCGAGCGUUACUCGGAAUUACUGGGCGUAAAGCGUGCGCAGGCGGUUUUGCAAGCCGGAUGUGAAAUCCCCGGGCUUAACCUGGGAAUGGCAUUUGGGACUGCAAGGCUGGAGUGCGGCAGAGGAGACUGGAAUUCCUGGUGUAGCAGUGAAAUGCGUAGAUAUCAGGAGGAACACCGGUGGCGAAGGCGGGUCUCUGGGCCGAUACUGACGCUGAGGAGCGAAAGCGUGGGGAGCGAACAGG
This 253-nucleotide ribosomal RNA is filed under the name uncultured bacterium. RNAcentral describes it as "partial 16S ribosomal RNA". It matches the Rfam family "Bacterial small subunit ribosomal RNA", at positions 524 to 776 of the family's 1533-position model. The record is from RNAcentral.